GACGAACGCUGGCGGCGUGCUUAACACAUGCAAGUCGAACGGUAAGGCCCUUCGGGGUACACGAGUGGCGAACGGGUGAGUAACACGUGGGUGAUCUGCCCUGCACUUCGGGAUAAGCCUGGGAAACUGGGUCUAAUACCGGAUAGGACCACUGCCUGCAUGGGUGGUGGUGGAAAGCUUUUGCGGUGUGGGAUGGGCCCGCGGCCUAUCAGCUUGUUGGUGGGGUGAUGGCCUACCAAGGCGACGACGGGUAGACGGCCUGAGAGGGUGACCGGCCGCACGGGGACUGAGAUACGGCCCAGACUCCUACGGGAGGCAGCAGUGGGGAAUAUUGCACAAUGGGCGCAAGCCUGAUGCAGCGACGCCGCGUGAGGGAUGACGGCCUUCGGGUUGUAAACCUCUUUCAGCACCGACGAAGCGCAAGUGACGGUAGGUGCAGAAGAAGGACCGGCCAACUACGUGCCAGCCGCCGCGGUAA
Molecule: ribosomal RNA, 478 nt
Filed under: uncultured bacterium
Lineage: Bacteria
Description: partial 16S ribosomal RNA
Rfam family: Bacterial small subunit ribosomal RNA
Source: RNAcentral